RNAcentral lists this transfer RNA (77 nucleotides) under Mycoplasmataceae bacterium. Its description in RNAcentral is "tRNA-Met". It matches the Rfam family "tRNA". From Rfam's summary of the family: Transfer RNA (tRNA) molecules are approximately 80 nucleotides in length. Their secondary structure includes four short double-helical elements and three loops (D, anti-codon, and T loops). Further hydrogen bonds mediate the characteristic L-shaped molecular structure. tRNAs have two regions of fundamental functional importance: the anti-codon, which is responsible for specific mRNA codon recognition, and the 3' end, to which the tRNAs corresponding amino acid is attached (by aminoacyl-tRNA synthetases). tRNAs cope with the degeneracy of the genetic code in two manners: having more than one tRNA (with a specific anti-codon) for a particular amino acid; and 'wobble' base-pairing, i.e. permitting non-standard base-pairing at the 3rd anti-codon position. The record is from RNAcentral. Lineage: Bacteria; Bacillati; Mycoplasmatota; Mollicutes; Mycoplasmatales; Mycoplasmataceae.
CGCGGAGUAGAGCAGUUUGGUAGCUCGUCAGGCUCAUAAUCUGAAGGUCAUGGGUUCAAAUCCCAUCUCCGCAACCA